Gossypium arboreum is the source of this 550-nucleotide long non-coding RNA. RefSeq lists it as uncharacterized. The record is from RefSeq and is a predicted model, not a curated record. The transcript has 2 exons. Lineage: Eukaryota; Viridiplantae; Streptophyta; Magnoliopsida; Malvales; Malvaceae.
UCAUUUCUAACAUCCCAUUUAAAAAAACCCAAAGAAAAAAUGCUCUGAAACUCUCUCCAUCCUCUGGCCUGAACAACGGUGACGAUUGCCGGCCACCACUGCACGCGCCUCACGCACCACCGUACGCGGUGGUCGGAGGUUCAAAAUUCCUCUUCUUUUCAAGCGAAUCACAGAUCUGUGGUGCAAUCUCUGGUGACGGAACCGGCGUUGAUUCAGGUUUCCUGGAAUCACGGCGUAACUCGGGGCUGCUGGAACGGCGUGCGUUGAAAGGGCGAGACGCUUGGAAUGGCUCGAAGCUUCCAGAACUCCAUUGCGGCUCUAGGGUUUCUUAACCCUAUCUGAAACUCAUUUGGGCUCCUUGCUGUUUGGGCCUUAGGGUUUAAAUGGGUCUAUUUUGUAAUUGUAAUGGGUCAAGGGUGUAAAUGGGUUAAUGUUUGGGCUACUGCAAUCGGGUUAGGGUAACGGGUUAGUUUAGGGUUUAUUGGAUUUGUGUAUUUGGGCCUGGGCAUUGUAAUCUGGACUGUUAAAUAAACAUUUAUUUAUUUUUUAA